UGGGGAAUCUUGGACAAUGGGCGCAAGCCUGAUCCAGCCAUGCCGCGUGAGUGAAGAAGGCCUUCGGGUUGUAAAGCUCUUUUACCAGGGACGAUAAUGACGGUACCUGGAGAAUAAGCCCCGGCAAACUUCGUGCCAGCAGCCGCGGUAAUACGAAGGGGGCUAGCGUUGUUCGGAAUUAUUGGGCGUAAAGGGCGCGUAGGCGGGAGUAUAAGUCAGAUGUGAAAUACCUGGGCUCAACCUGGGAACUGCAUUUGAUACUGUACUGUCUAGAGUGGAGUAGAGGGCAGUGGAAUUUCCGGUGUAGCGGUGAAAUGCGUAGAUAUCGGAAAGAACACCAGUGGCGAAGGCGACUGCCUGGACUCCAACUGACGCUGAGGCGCGAAAGCGUGGGGAGCGAACAGGAUUAGAUACCCCCGUAGUCCCUGAGCGGGCUGGCAAGGCGCAU
Molecule: ribosomal RNA, 448 nt
Filed under: uncultured bacterium
Lineage: Bacteria
Description: bacterial SSU rRNA
Rfam family: Bacterial small subunit ribosomal RNA
Source: RNAcentral